Molecule: ribosomal RNA, 30 nt
Filed under: Alkalinema pantanalense CENA528
Lineage: Bacteria; Bacillati; Cyanobacteriota; Cyanophyceae; Leptolyngbyales; Leptolyngbyaceae
Also listed under: 3 other names
Description: partial 23S ribosomal RNA
Source: RNAcentral
UGGUCAAGCUACAAAGGGCUAAUGGUGGAU